Molecule: ribosomal RNA, 388 nt
Filed under: uncultured bacterium
Lineage: Bacteria
Description: bacterial SSU rRNA
Rfam family: Bacterial small subunit ribosomal RNA
Source: RNAcentral
AUUGAACGCUGGCGGCAUGCCUUACACAUGCAAGUCGAACGGUAACGCGGGGCAACCUGGCGACGAGUGGCGAACGGGUGAGUAAUGCAUCGGAACGUGCCCAGUAGUGGGGGAUAGCCCGGCGAAAGCCGGAUUAAUACCGCAUACGACCUACGGGUGAAAGCGGGGGACCGUAAGGCCUCGCGCUAUUGGAGCGGCCGAUGUCAGAUUAGGUAGUUGGUGGGGUAAAGGCCUACCAAGCCUACGAUCUGUAGCUGGUCUGAGAGGACGACCAGCCACACUGGGACUGAGACACGGCCCAGACUCCUACGGGAGGCAGCAGUGGGGAAUUUUGGACAAUGGGCGCAAGCCUGAUCCAGCCAUGCCGCGUGCGGGAAGAAGGCCUCGG